CCUACGGGAGGCAGCAGUAGGGAAUCUUCCACAAUGGGCGAAAGCCUGAUGGAGCAACGCCGCGUGGGUGAAGAAGGUCUUCGGAUCGUAAAACCCUGUUGUUAGAGAAGAAAGUGCGUGAGAGUAACUGUUCACGUUUCGACGGUAUCUAACCAGAAAGCCACGGCUAACUACGUGCCAGCAGCCGCGGUAAUACGUAGGUGGCAAGCGUUAUCCGGAUUUAUUGGGCGUAAAGGGAACGCAGGCGGUCUUUUAAGUCUGAUGUGAAAGCCUUCGGCUUAACCGGAGUAGUGCAUUGGAAACUGGGAGACUGGAGUGCAGAAGAGGAGAGUGGAACUCCAUGUGUAGCGGUGAAAUGCGUAGAGAUAUGGAAGAACACCAGUGGCGAAAGCGGCUCUCUGGUCUGUAACUGACGCUGAGGUUCGAAAGCGUGGGUAGCAAACAGGAUUAGAUACCCCUGUAGUC
RNAcentral lists this ribosomal RNA (465 nucleotides) under uncultured bacterium. Its description in RNAcentral is "partial 16S ribosomal RNA". It matches the Rfam family "Bacterial small subunit ribosomal RNA", at positions 338 to 795 of the family's 1533-position model. The record is from RNAcentral.